GACGAACGCUGGCGGCGUGCUUAACACAUGCAAGUCGAACGGAAAGGCCCUGCUUGCCGGGUGCUCGAGUGGCGAACGGGUGAGUAACACGUGGGUGAUCUGCCCCUUACUUUGAGAUAAGCCUGGGAAACUGGGUCUAAUACUGGAUAGGACCAUGCUGUAGGUGGUGUGGUGGAAAGAUUAGUUUCGGUAAGGGAUGAGCUCGCGGCCUAUCAGCUUGUUGGUGGGGUAAUGGCCUACCAAGGCGUCGACGGGUAGCCGGCCUGAGAGGGUGGACGGCCACAUUGGGACUGAGAGACGGCCCAGACUCCCACGGGAGGCAGCAGUGGGGAAUAUUGCACAAUGGGCGCAAGCCUGAUGCAGCGACGCCGCGUGGGGGAUGACGGCCUUCGGGUUGUAAACUCCUUUCAGCCAUGACGAAGCCCUUGUGGUGACGGUAGUGGUAGAAGAAGCACCGGCUAACUACGU
RNAcentral lists this ribosomal RNA (468 nucleotides) under uncultured bacterium. RNAcentral's name for it is "partial 16S ribosomal RNA". It matches the Rfam family "Bacterial small subunit ribosomal RNA", at positions 28 to 506 of the family's 1533-position model. The record is from RNAcentral.